CCUACGGGAGGCAGCAGUGAGGAAUAUUGGUCAAUGGGCGCGAGCCUGAACCAGCCAAGCAGCGUGAAGGAUGACUGCCCUACGGGUUGUAAACUUCUUUUAUAAAGGAAUAAAGUGAGGCACGUGUGCCCUUCUGUAUGUACUUUAUGAAUAAGGAUCGGCUAACUCCGUGCCAGCAGCCGCGGUAAUACGGAGGAUCCGAGCGUUAUCCGGAUUUAUUGGGUUUAAAGGGAGCGUAGGUGGGUUGUUAAGUCGGGUGUGAAAGUUUGCGGCUCAACCGUAGAAUUGCAAUUGAUACUGGCGGCCUGGAGAGCAGAUGAGGUAGGCGGAAUGCGUGGUGUAGCGGUGAAAUGCUUAGAUAUCACGAAGAACACCGAUUGCGAAGGCAGCUUACUAAACUGCAACUGACGUUGAUGCUCGAAAGUGUGGGUAUCAAACAGGAUUAGAUACCCGUGUAGUC
RNAcentral lists this ribosomal RNA (460 nucleotides) under uncultured bacterium. RNAcentral describes it as "partial 16S ribosomal RNA". It matches the Rfam family "Bacterial small subunit ribosomal RNA", at positions 338 to 795 of the family's 1533-position model. The record is from RNAcentral.